Long non-coding RNA from Zootermopsis nevadensis, 1033 nucleotides. RefSeq lists it as uncharacterized. The record is from RefSeq and is a predicted model, not a curated record. Lineage: Eukaryota; Metazoa; Arthropoda; Insecta; Blattodea; Termopsidae.
CAAGGACACUUCUUCAUUAUUUUCUUACGCGUUAAGAAAACGGCAUGUCAUCGGGUUCAGUGGGGGCCAAGGAAAAGUCGCCAUAUACGAAAAGAGCAUUGAAAAUGAAGCUUUACACGGUCUCCGUUUGUUUUUUGUUGACAAACAUCACAGGCAACUUGCGCAGAGCACGAAAGAGAUUCCACGCAAUCUUUUUACGAGACUUUUGUGGAAUCUCCGGGUUUUCGCUGUAGUGAGAAUGUGGAUUGUGGGCCAGAUUGUGACGCCAUGUAGUCUAGCAGAUGGAGAAGGAAACGUCGCCAUUUUCGGAGUAGAAGUCGUUUUUAUUUUGAUGACGGAAAGUAUUACAACCUAGAAGAUCGCAUUGUUUGUCAACGCCAUUGGGAAUUCCCGAAACACUUUGUGAACUCCAAGAAAUGAACGUGAAGUUCUGAACCACUUUAAGAGUCGCUUUUCAGACCUAACUCUUCUCAGUGUAGACGGAUCAAAAAUUCAACGACAAUUGCAGUCGGCGAGAAAUACGUGAUGGAAGUUUCGCCUGCGACAAGGAUCCACCCCAGGAUGUCUCAAUGCUGGCACCAGAAAGAAGUUCGUGAAUCACUGAGCUGUGUUAUUGCACAAAGUUUGUCUGUUUGGGCAUACGUAUUGUUUACAGCCCAGAAAUCUUUGCUGUCCGGCAAUGUGCGUCAGUCGCCAUGAACCCGCAGGAGACGGCACGGAGUACGUGGAGUUCCUUGUCGGAGCGAAAUCGGAUACACAGGUCCGAAGACAUUUCAUAUCAACGCAUCCCAAGACGACGACGCCACCAGGACUAUCAUCAACAUGUGCUUGGUGCAAACAGUUGAAGGAGACCGGAAGUGUUAUGCACGUCCGUCCGCGUGUCUGAUGAAAACCCCGGAAGGAUCUUCGUCCGCGGUCCACGAGCUGCAGCAAAUGCCUGUCGUAUUCGACGGAGCGUCCGUCGAAUGCGGUCUUACGAAGGCGUUCGUGUCUGCGUGCUUACGAGUUUUCGGUGGUCCUGAUGACAGGGUAG